GCAGCAAGCAAGUUUAAGUCCUAGACACUAAGACCAUCAGGUUGAAACCUAACCAACAUGGCGGUAGUUUAAAUAUUCAGGGGAACUUACUAAAUAAUUGAUAACCACCAAGAAAAUUCACGUUAUUUCAAAUUUUACAUACCGUCGUCGGCAGAUCUGCUACAAUAGUACAUCUAACAAUAUAGAUAAAAGGACAGAUCAAGGUGUAGACAAUAAGAACGUUUCAGCGAGUUACUAUAAGCUUUAACUUCAAAUGACAAUUAUAAUAUUACUAAUUUGCAGGACUUGAAAGUAAUAUAUAUUAGGAAUAUUUUAUGAAUAACACUUUAACUGUGCACAA
RNAcentral lists this ribosomal RNA (340 nucleotides) under Caucasotachea atrolabiata. RNAcentral describes it as "partial 12S ribosomal RNA". The record is from RNAcentral. Lineage: Eukaryota; Metazoa; Mollusca; Gastropoda; Stylommatophora; Helicidae.